UGGCUCUCGCAUCGAUGAAGAACGCAGCGAAAUGCGAUAAGUAAUGUGAAUUGCAGAAUUCAGUGAAUCAUCGAAUCUUUGAACGCACCUUGCGCCACGUGGUAUUCCACGGGGCACGCCUGUUUGAGUGUCACGUAAACCCAUCGCGUCGUGGACUGUCAUGGUCUGCGGGGCGGAUUUGGACGCUGCCGUCGUUGGCUCGUCUCGAAAUACAUUAGCUGUCUUAUGACGCGCGCCGUUGGUGUGAUAAUUUGCUUUACGCCGCUGGUGAGUGACUGUAGAAGGCUUAUAACCGCCCGCAAGGGCAACCAUCUUAACGCUUUGGCCUCAAAUCAGGUGGGACUACCCGCUGA
Molecule: unclassified non-coding RNA, 353 nt
Filed under: uncultured fungus
Lineage: Eukaryota; Fungi
Description: partial contains 5.8S ribosomal RNA and internal transcribed spacer 2
Rfam family: 5.8S ribosomal RNA (bases 1-133)
Source: RNAcentral